RNAcentral lists this transfer RNA (81 nucleotides) under Canis lupus familiaris (dog). It matches the Rfam family "tRNA". From Rfam's summary of the family: Transfer RNA (tRNA) molecules are approximately 80 nucleotides in length. Their secondary structure includes four short double-helical elements and three loops (D, anti-codon, and T loops). The record is from Rfam by way of RNAcentral. Lineage: Eukaryota; Metazoa; Chordata; Mammalia; Carnivora; Canidae. RNAcentral also lists the same sequence under 1 other name.
GCCUGGGUGGCUCAGCGGUUGAGCCUCUGCCUUUGGCUCAGGGCGUGAUCACGGGUUCAGGAUCGAAUCCUGCAUCAGGCU